AUGGCGAUGGAUUUCCCCGUCUCUCCGGUCGACAGGUUGCCCAUCUUUCCUGAUGAGGGCUGUAGCGCGACAGCCCUAAUGGAGUUGAUUGGUGGCGGUGGUCGUGGGGAAGAAGAGUCCGCCAAUGGAUCGGGCGGGGCGGUCGUAUGUGGAUUUGGGUUGAGCUCACCUGGGCAGUCCGUUGGUGCUGCUAUGUAUGGCGAGGAAACCAGUGUAGCUGCCUGCGCCCCUGCCAUGUCCGGUUUCAGUGAGAAUGAGGGUGACAACGCCGAUGCCAUUGAACACGGCGGCGUUGAAGGCCAUGACGCUGUGAUUCAAGAUCAAACAGAAAGUGGCGAUGGAGGCUCGGCUCAAUCUACGGGGAAGGUGGAUCCCCAAACACAUGGAUGGACAAAAAGAUGGAAGUGGGAGCGCCUCACGCAUUGCAAGUGCUGA
RNAcentral lists this ribosomal RNA (435 nucleotides) under Triticum aestivum (bread wheat). RNAcentral's name for it is "partial small subunit ribosomal RNA". Lineage: Eukaryota; Viridiplantae; Streptophyta; Magnoliopsida; Poales; Poaceae. The record is from RNAcentral.